CUUAACUCUGGAACUGCCAUCAAAACUUUUUAGCUAGAGUAUGAUAGAGGAAAGCAGAAUUUCUAGUGUAGAGGUGAAAUUCGUAGAUAUUAGAAAGAAUACCAAUUGCGAAGGCAGCUUUCUGGAUCAUUACUGACACUGAGGAACGAAAGCAUGGGUAGCGAAGAGGAUUAGAUACCCUCGUAGUCCAUGCCGUAAACGAUGUGUGUUAGACGUUGGAAAUUUAUUUUCAGUGUCGCAGCGAAAGCAUUAAACACACCGCCUGGGGAGUACGACCGCAAGGUUAAAACUCAAAUGAAUUGACGGGGACUCGCACAAGUAGUGGAGCAUGUGGUUUAAUUCGAAGAUACGCGCAGAACCUUACCAACACUUGACAUGUUCGUCGCGACUUUAAGAGAUUAAAGUUUUCGGUUCGGCCGGACGAAACACAGGUGCUGCAUGGCUGUCGUCAGCUCGUGUCGUGAGAUGUUGGGUUAAGUCCCGCAACGAGCGCAACCCUCACUUUUAGUUGCCAUCAUUAAGUUGGGCACUCUGAAAGAACUGCCAGUGAUAAGCUGGAGGAAGGUGGGGAUGACGUCAAGUCCUCAUGGCCCUUACGUGUUGGGCUACACACGUGCUACAAUGGCAUUUACAAUAGGAAGCAAGAUGGCGACGUCAAGCAAAUCCUAAAAAGAUGCCUCAGUUCGGAUUGUACUCUGCAACUCGAGUACAUGAAGCUGGAAUUACUAGUAAUCGCGGAUCAGCGCGCCGCGGCGAAUACGUUCCCGGGUCUUGUACACACCGCCCGUCACACCAUGGGAGUUGGUUCUACCUUAAGGCAAGGUUUUAAACCCUUGACCACGGUAUAGUCAGCGACUGGGGUGAAGUCGUAACAAGGUAGCCG
This 883-nucleotide ribosomal RNA is filed under the name uncultured bacterium. RNAcentral's name for it is "bacterial SSU rRNA". It matches the Rfam family "Bacterial small subunit ribosomal RNA", at positions 608 to 1502 of the family's 1533-position model. The record is from RNAcentral.